This is a long non-coding RNA of Neogale vison (American mink), 793 nucleotides long. RefSeq lists it as uncharacterized. Lineage: Eukaryota; Metazoa; Chordata; Mammalia; Carnivora; Mustelidae. The transcript has 3 exons. The record is from RefSeq and is a predicted model, not a curated record.
UGGAGAGAGGGGAGCAGCUGGAGCCUUCCUCAGCCCUUGCCUGCGGGUUGCCUAGAGUCUGUACAUAGCAGGACGUGUCGUGUCGGGAGAAGAGGAGAGAUUAUUUCAACAAACUCCUAGAAACCGUCCACGCCCAGCUCUCUAGACAGCUGCCCGGAGCUACGUCUACAUCGAGCUAAAUAAAAGCACACGGCAUUAACCUGGAGGGCUCAGUCCCUGUCUCUAACACCUCACACCCGUUCCUCUCGUCGCUUCCCACCCACCCUUGCCCUUCUCUUCUGGGGAGAAAAGAAAAGUACAUAAUCUGGAUCCUCCCUCGAGAAGCUGGUGUUCUAUGGAGGAAAACAACAUUUAUGCCGCUGCAGUAAGGGAAGGGCUCACGGUCGGUGCUCAGCAUGGCUGGUUGAAACAGAAAAGAGAUCAUUGGAACAGCCUCCGAAUGUUGCCAAACCAAACCCGAAAGAUACUCUUAACUCGAUUUUAAAGAAAACACAAAAAGAUAUUUAAACUUAUCCAUUGAAUGUCAACAACUGUCAUUGCUACAAAACCAGCUGGUGUCAGGAAUCACUAAAAACAAGAUUUUUUUCAUGUUGGCUAAAGCAAAAAAAAAAAAAAAAAAUUCCCUCUCUUCCAGAAAAGCCAGAAGCAGCAGGGGUGUGGGGGGAAGUUCAGAUAAUAAACGGUUAGGCUUUAUGAUACCGAAUACUUAAAAAUAAAAUCCACCUUGAGACUGUGACCACACUUCAGUUCUUCCGUGUCUUGUUCUUUUCCCUUCUUGUCCCCGGCUCUUUCU